This 274-nucleotide ribosomal RNA is filed under the name uncultured bacterium. RNAcentral describes it as "partial 16S ribosomal RNA". It matches the Rfam family "Bacterial small subunit ribosomal RNA", at positions 523 to 796 of the family's 1533-position model. The record is from RNAcentral.
AUACGAACCGUCCAAACGUUAUUCGGAAUCAUUGGGCUUAAAGGGUGCGUAGGCGGUGUGGUCAGUUGGGUGUGAAAUCCCUCGGCUCAACCGAGGAACUGCGCCCAAUACUGCCACACUCGAGGGAGACAGAGGUAAGCGGAACUGAUGGUGGAGCGGUGAAAUGCGUUGAUAUCAUCAGGAACACCAGUGGCGAAGGCGGCUUACUGGGUCUCUUCUGACGCUGAGGCACGAAAGCUAGGGGAGCGAACGGAAUUAGAAACCCCAGUAGUCC